This 374-nucleotide ribosomal RNA is filed under the name uncultured organism. RNAcentral describes it as "bacterial SSU rRNA". It matches the Rfam family "Bacterial small subunit ribosomal RNA", at positions 526 to 896 of the family's 1533-position model. The record is from RNAcentral.
CGGAGGGUGCAAGCGUUGUUCGGAAUUAUUGGGCGUAAAGCGCGCGCAGGCGGUCGAAAAAGUCUAUGGGUCAAAGGCCGGGGCUCAACCCCGAGUACGCCCAGGAUACUGUUCGACUGGAGACACGUAGAGGCAAGCGGAAUUUCGGGUGUAGCGGUGGAAUGCGUAGAUAUCCGAAAGAACACCGGAGGCGAAGGCGGCUUGCUGGGCGUGAUCUGACGCUGAGGCGCGAAAGCGUGGGGAGCGAACAGGAUUAGAUACCCUGGUAGUCCACGCUGUAAACGAUGGGCACUGGAUGCGGGGGGGGAUCGGCCCUCUCCGUGUCGCAGCUUACGCGUUAAGUGCCCCGCCUGGGGAGUACGGCCGCAAGGCUG